GGUAGUCUAUAAGAAAAAAUUAGGAAAACUGAAUCGAGUACUCGCGGAAGUCGUAAUAUCAUAGGGUAGUUUAGUUAAUAGAUACGGCUUCGGGAAGGAAUACAAUUAAAACUGCUAGAGAAAAUAGUUUCUAUAGUUCUAGAUUUGAUUUCCUUUUCUCAGACCUGAUUCUUAUCUCUCGAUCUACUUCCUCUUCUCUAACCUAACUAUUGCGCCUCUCUAUUUCUUCUUCAUCUUCUUCUCUUCUAUUAUGAGCGAAGACAGAUUUUCCCCCAAAAUUAGUUUAUUUAUUUCAUUGAAUUUUUUUUUCAAUCGCAUGAAGUUAAAGAGAAUUGUUGAUUUUUCUUCUUCUUCAGAGUUUAUACGACUGAAUACUACCAAACCCUAACCCUCAAUCACUCAAUCACACACAAUUUUACCUGUUUCAUUACCUUCUCAACCAAAAAUUGUUCAAACUUAGCCGUAUUGCGAACCCUAAUUUUUGUUUACCUUCUGAAAUCUUAUUUUCAUUUUACUUUUCAUCUGCAGAAUUUGAAGAUGUUUAUUAGUAAUUGAUGGUGCCCUGACUCUUACAAGGUGAACUCACUGGUGCAGAUAUUCCUGAAUGAACAAACUAUUGAUGUGGUGUGAAAUGCAGCUUAUUAUCACUUGGAAAUACCUCAUUUUACAAGUAUCCAGUUAGCUUGACAGUUAUAAUUCUAUUGGUCAUGUGCUUAUUUGAGUUCUUAAGAUGCUUAUUAGCAAUUGAUUUUUCCCACCAGUAACAAUGGAAGUAGGAUCAUGUUCCAUUAACAACAUUAACAGUUGCGUCAAUAAAUGAUUUCAUAUUUAACUAUGGCAAAGGAGGUGCUUGUUUUACAUGGAAUGAGAUUCCUUCCUCAUUGGCUUCUGUCGAUGCCUUUCAAAGGUACACCCAUCUUUCCAGCGAUCCCCUUUGCAAAGCUAGCAACAUGUCUUGUACGCGUGUUCGUUGAUAUAUAAACUAUAUGCUUCUCAAGUGACAUGAAUGGCUCUCUUCAUCGGCGCAAUCUCAAUAAUCACUGACUUCUGAAAGGGAUCUGGAAAUGCAAUAGCAAGCUAAUUGACCUAUUAGUUUCUUACAUGAAACCAAGUGCAGAAGCUUCCUAUUUCAAGUGUUGUAGAUUCCUCCUCUUCAAAGACACCACCUGACAAGAACUGGAACUAUAUAUGGAGAAGCAUUAUGGUUACAUGAAAUUUCACUCAUGUUGCCUUCGUAGUUUUUCUAUAAUGAUUUGCUUUUUAGAUUUCUGUAAGUUUCGUAAAUUGUUUUCAGAUUUGGAACUGAUUGUAGUUUGUUAUUGUGAAAUGAAAUCAGUAUGUUAAGUUUCGCAGAUUUAGAACUUGAGUAAUCGUAGUUUGUUGGGGAUGUGUAAUGAAUUUAGCGAAAAUAAGUUUAAUUUUCGGGUUCAAUCGAAUUUUAUUUCAGCUA
Papaver somniferum (opium poppy) is the source of this 1450-nucleotide long non-coding RNA. RefSeq lists it as uncharacterized. Lineage: Eukaryota; Viridiplantae; Streptophyta; Magnoliopsida; Ranunculales; Papaveraceae. The transcript is spliced from 7 exons. The record is from RefSeq and is a predicted model, not a curated record.